CGUGGACAAGGAGUGACGGAAACUGCGCGGGGUGGCGUAUAAUACGUAAUAAUAUUAUUGAAUCAGUCGCGGUAGUAGCGCUACCCCCGCUCACGGCCUACACACGGGAACACGACAACGACGGCGGGAGCGGGGAUCGGAUCCGUCGGAGACGCGACGGCGGGCGGCCGCGCGGCGACCGUGCUGUCCGGCGUGAAAGACGAUCGGCUUCGAGGACUUGGAGUGGCCGGACGUGUUCGACGACCGGUACUACGAUGACGACGUGGACACGCGCUCGGUGCGGCCGCAGCCGCUACGGGCGGCCGCUGCGAUGGUGAACAGUGGUGCUGGCCGCACCGCUCUCGCUGGCACCGGGCACUACCAUCACCACCACCAACACCAUCACCAUCACCACCUCCAGUCGCAGUCGACCACUAACUUCCUGCAUCACCACCACUACCUGCACCAAUACCACCACAACAGCGUGUAUUACCGCGGCCGCGCGCACCCGCAGCGCCGGCACAACAUUCACCACCAUCUCGCGGACAAAACGUCCUACUAUCAUCACAACCAUCACCACCACCGGGGUCAGUCACCGUCUUCGCCGCCGCCGACGUCGCCGUCCACGUCCAACCGGCCGCUCUACAGACGGGUGUACAACUUCAUCCGGCAGGCGUGGACCGGCGUCAAGUUCUCAUUAGAUUCCGAAUUUGACGAUUUGGAAACACCACCCAGGUACAGACCCGAAAGCGUACAAUACUUUUGCCGGACGACAGGUUUCACGGAAUCGGAAAUCAAAAAAAUUUACCGAAAUUUCAAGACGGAAUGCCCAACUGGGCUCAUCAAGGAAGAUGCGUUCCGUGGCAUUUACUCGCAAUUUUUCCCUCAAGGAGCCAACAUAAGUCAAUACGCUCAUUAUGUCUUUCAAUCGCUGGACCACGAAAGAAACGGCAUUCUAAAUUUUGAGGACAUGGUGCAGGGACUGUGGACGCUGUCGCGGGGAUCGGUUGACGACAAGCUCCGGUGGGCGUUCACGCUAUAUGACCUGGAUGGUGACGGGCAAAUAUGUCGGGACGAGAUGACACGCGUCGUGACGGCUAUCUACGAACUGAUGGGCAAAUUCGCCGAACCGUGGCUCAAGGACGGCACGACGGUGGCCGCGCACGUAGAUUUCGUCUUCCAGAAAAUGGACCUCAAUCGAGACGGGGUGGUGUCAUUCGACGAGUUCAUGGAAACCUGUAAAAAUGACGAGAACAUCACCCGUGCAAUGAUCUCAAUGUAGACGAGAGACAUCGUUAAUAUAGAUGAUAAGUAUCAUACCGUGGACAUUGUUAGAAAAUAAAAUUAUAUCAAAGAACUGGUCGAUGACAACGGUAGGAUGACGUGAAAUCGGCAGACAUCAUCUGAACGAUGAACAGAAAGACAGUGAUCAGAAAUGUGGCUCUAUGUCUGUUAAGAUAUUUGAAACGCACCAUUUCCUCAACCAGAUGGUGCCAUCGACUAACAUAUUUACUGAUAUAAUAUGCACAUCAUAUGAAAUGAUAGGUGCGUUGUAAAUAUAAAUGAAUAAAACCAAACAUUUGUAAAUUUUUCUUUUCGCCAUUGACCUAAAUAAACGAUAUUAUCAUUCCUAUAUUAUUAUUACAUUAAUUACGUGUGUUAUCCUAAAAUAUUACCAGGGUUAUUCGUGCAUUGUAAAUACGAUGAAUAAUAUAAUAUAUAGUGUUCCCUUCAACGAUAUCAAACUAGUUUUAUUAUAAAAUCAAAUAUUUAAACAGUUAAAAAUAUAAUAUAAUACUUAUAUCAAUUAAUGUAUUUU
Unclassified non-coding RNA from Diuraphis noxia (Russian wheat aphid), 1798 nucleotides. The record is from RefSeq and is a predicted model, not a curated record. Lineage: Eukaryota; Metazoa; Arthropoda; Insecta; Hemiptera; Aphididae.